Molecule: long non-coding RNA, 1098 nt
Organism: Panicum virgatum (switchgrass)
Lineage: Eukaryota; Viridiplantae; Streptophyta; Magnoliopsida; Poales; Poaceae
Exons: 3
Source: RefSeq, a predicted model, not a curated record
CGUCGACGUCUCUGUUCGUCUGAAACGACGACUACAUGCAAGCUUUUGUGUCGAUGAGAUUGGUACGGAGGACGUUGCCGAUAAACCUGCACUGCUCGCUCUUGAACCUGCACUGCUUGCCUUGACACGCCUCGUCUGCUAUAAACCUGCACUGCAUUAGAACACUUUUUUCACUCCGCUCGCUCCUUUCGCUCUUGCUCGGUGUUCUCACCUGGCCGUCGCCCCUCGCUCGCUCACCAACUACUCACCCGGCCAUCUCCCCCUCGCUCACUCACCAGUCGCUUGCUAGUCUCUCGCUCCUCUCCACUCCAACAGGCCACACCACGCAGUCAUGUUUGGAGGUCGCGCUAGAGGUGACGCUGUAGCGAAACUUUAUUUCAACUGCGGUUAUUGUGGAGUAGCCCUAUCUGAUGGGGCUUUUACAUGCGACAAAAUGGUUUCUACGGAUGAAAGAUGUCAACGUCUAUUUUGUGAGUCAUGCGCACAAAUUCACGAGAAUUCCUUCAAUCAUGAUAUUUUUCGAGCACAAAAUCUCGAUUAUAUCAUUUCAACUGGUACGUUUGUUUGCACUUUUGAGGGAUGUGCCCAAGAUAUACCUGCACCACUGUAUAGUCAACAUCAGAGGACGUGCCCGUACAAAAGACUUACGUGUCCAAUAUGUAAUAAUGGAUUUGCUUUGAUAUCACUGAGGUCACAUCUUCUGAGAGAACAUCAGUUCAACUAUUACCAGCUUAAUUAUGGUUCUCUCAACACUGGUCAUAAUAUCUCUAAUGAUAGAGGGUGUGUUUUUGGCGGUAGAGAGGAAGACUUUGUAUUCUUCAUUAGAGACGCAACCCUUUAUUUUGUAUGGCUUGGUGCAUCAGCUGCUGCUUCAUCUCAAGCGUCUGCUUCUUCAUCAGCGUCUGCAAAUAUCCAACUGAUGGUGAAUUUGGUCGCAGCUCAGACUCAGCAGGAUAGUGGGUCCUACACAGAUCCACCGCUACCGAGGUGUACUGAUGUUUUUCGUCUCUUUAGCUUCAGGCAUCUCACCGCAGAAAAUAAUUUUAAGAUUUCUGUAUUGAUAGAUUAGUUGUUUAUGUGUAUGUCUUUAUUUAUCUA